This 52-nucleotide microRNA precursor is filed under the name Equus caballus (horse). RNAcentral describes it as "mir-1302 microRNA precursor family". It matches the Rfam family "mir-1302 microRNA precursor family". The record is from Rfam by way of RNAcentral. Lineage: Eukaryota; Metazoa; Chordata; Mammalia; Perissodactyla; Equidae.
UUUUUAAUAUAAGUAUGUCCUAUGUGAUAUUUGGGAUAAACUUAUACUAAAA